Molecule: long non-coding RNA, 1282 nt
Filed under: Haliotis rufescens (red abalone)
Lineage: Eukaryota; Metazoa; Mollusca; Gastropoda; Lepetellida; Haliotidae
Description: uncharacterized LOC124131541, transcript variant X1
Source: RNAcentral
UUGAUGAAUGAUAAUAGUUUAUAAACAUGGCAUACCUUGUGUUCAUAAUAACUCAUAUGUAGCCUGACUAAAUACAACAAGAAACAUUACUGAAAUACAACUCAUUGCUAAUACAUGGAAAUAACUUACUUGCAUUAUGGGACAUUUACGUGUAUCAGAACACUGGCAUUCUGAUGGCUAAUUUUACCUGGAUAUUUUAUGGGGGCUAUGGAACAUAUACGGUCUAUUUGCUGAACACAUGCGUUCUCUCCUAGAACGCAUGUGUUCUGCUAUGUUCUAUAGUGAUAAGCAGCACACUAAUGUUACAGGGGAGAACACGUGUUCCAUUAAUAGAACAUAGGGGUUCUAUUUAUCUAACUAGCAUUCGAAGCUGCCCAUGUCCUGUGAACCACAUCCGUUAUGUGAGAAACUGACGUGACGUAGCAUGUAUUUGGUGCUACAAUUUCCUAUCAUCUGAGGGGUAUCUGUGGUAAGUAUCCAUCUAGGAAUAAUUUUGUUUCAUAUUUAAUCCUUACCUAAAAUUGUGUAAUAUUUCGGCGAUAUAUUCAUAUGCUGAUUGCAUGCGAAGUAAAACCGGCCCCUUACGAAACUUAUAGCAGACGACAUAUUCCCCGCCAUUUUGACCGUCAUUUCUGCCAUUGUUCCACAAGCAUUAUUUGCAAAUUGUGAGAUGAAAUCCCAAUCCAAACUGCACUUGUGACAUUUUGAAAGUUUCCGUUUAUUUGAAUGAUGUUCAAAUAAAAUGAAUAUAUAUUUCAGGUUCUAUAUGAAUCGCCUGAAAGUACGAAGCGGGCAACAAAUCUCAUGCAACAAAUCUCUGAAGAUCUAAAUUUGGGAUCCGAGGGCAUGAUCAGCAUGCAUCGACAAUGCAUCGAAUCAGCAGAGAGUAGGGUUGCAUUGCAGAUAAUCAGUACCAUCCUUGGAAAUUAUUGCACACAGCACACGUCUACGCAAAGGAGGAAAAGAAACAAGGUUUUUCAGAUCAAAUAAGAAGGAUGUUGCGGAGUCGUAUUUGACAUGAAGUUUCCUGAAGCAUGCGAUGGUCAUGUCGCUGUUACGAACAACGUCCUUGGGGAUAUUUACCCACAAGAAACAUCUGCGAAGUACUUGCGCUUCGUGAAAGACUUGACACUUAAGUUAUCUUAAGUAUGGAAGUAUGCUUCACUUUGCUACAUGACAGUUUGUAAUGUUUCAUGAAGAACUCUGACUAACAUAUUUAAGUGACUUGAAUAUCCAUGAUCAUGACAAAUAAAUGUAAUAAAGAAUUCAUGGUUGCAGUUCA